AUUGAACGCUGGCGGCAUGCCUUACGCAUGCAAGUCGAACGGCAUCGCGGGAAAGCUUGCUUUCCUGGCGGCGAGUGGCGAACGGGUGAGUAACACAUCGGAACGUACCGGCUAGUGGGGGAUAACCCGUCGAAAGACGGGCUAAUACCGCAUACGCUCUUCGGAGGAAAGCAGGGGACCUUUGGGCCUUGCGCUAGCCGAGCGGCCGAUGUCCGAUUAGCUAGUUGGUGGGGUAAAGGCCUACCAAGGCGACGAUCGGUAGCGGGUCUGAGAGGACGAUCCGCCACACUGGGACUGAGACACGGCCCAGACUCCUACGGGAGGCAGCAGUGGGGAAUCUUGGACAAUGGGGGCAACCCUGAUCCAGCAAUGCCGCGUGGGUGAAGAAGGCCUUCGGGUUGUAAAGCCCUUUCGGCAGGGAAGAAAUCGGCGGGGCGAAUAACCCUGCUGG
Molecule: ribosomal RNA, 451 nt
Filed under: uncultured bacterium
Lineage: Bacteria
Description: bacterial SSU rRNA
Rfam family: Bacterial small subunit ribosomal RNA
Source: RNAcentral